UCAUUGAUGAGGAUGCACCUUUGAGGGACAUGUAAAUAUUUUACAUGUACUGUAUGGCAAGAUGCUACAGAUACCUUGGUUGUUAAAGACCGGAUGCCACAGACUUUUUCAUGGCAGAUAAGGGAGAUAGAAGAUGGAACGACUGGUGGAUAAAAACUCUUCAGUUUAUGUGAUGAAAUUGGCCAAAUCCAUUCAUCAACAUUCCAGUGCUUCAAGGAGGGCUUCACUAUUGUACAUGAGCUUGCACCAAGAAAAAUCCUUUUGACCAAAGUAUACAUUGAAGCAAGAGAGGAGAUGCUUGCAGAAGAUCUUCCAGUGUGAUGCUGAUACACCAUAUGAAAAUGGCUUUCACCAGGAUGGUUCAGGUCCUGAUCAAAUGGAUGGUGUGCAGGGGAAUAAGAAUCAAAGAGGGGGUAAUUGCAGCCUUCAGUGCAUACUUUCUUUUUUAACCCUAUAUGAAAAAUAUGCUCACUUCCUGCAAAGUGCUAUUGCAAAGAUAUGAGUAAAGAAUCAUUCAAAGACGUCCUGUGUUCCAGAAGAGACUAUUAAAAAAUUGUCAUAUUUUACUCACCCUCAUGAUGUUUCAAACCUGUAUGACUUUCUUUUCUUAUGUGGGGACAGAAAAGGAGAUAUUUUUAAUGAAUAUCACAGCCCGCUCUUUCAGUGCAAUGGCAGUGGAUAGAGCCUCAAUUUAAAUCUUAGAAGACCCAAAAGAUGUCAUAAAUGUAGUUCAUGUGACUUGUGCAUCUAAUUUAAAGUCUUAAGGCAUACAAUAAUUUUUUGGUGAGAAACAACCUGAAAUGAGAGAAGCUCCUUCAAAGUGGUUUGUGUGUUCACAUGUUCGUUUUGUUCUUUUUUUUAAGCUUUAAAGUGAGGUACUGUCAACUGCCAUUGUGUUGAAAAGAUAGCCCGUGAUGUUCAUUAAAACUUCUGCUUUUAUGUGCUCCUAAAAUUUAUUUUUGGGUGAGUAUGAAUGUGUAAUUAAGUUAAAAUGAAAUGUGUAGUAAUAUUUUUAA
Myxocyprinus asiaticus (Chinese sucker) is the source of this 1016-nucleotide long non-coding RNA. RefSeq lists it as uncharacterized. The transcript is spliced from 3 exons. The record is from RefSeq and is a predicted model, not a curated record. Lineage: Eukaryota; Metazoa; Chordata; Actinopteri; Cypriniformes; Catostomidae.